GACGAACGCUGGCGGCGUGCUUAACACAUGCAAGUCGAGCGGUAAGGCCUUUCGGGGUACACGAGCGGCGAACGGGUGAGUAACACGUGGGUGAUCUGCCCUGCACUUCGGGAUAAGCCUGGGAAACUGGGUCUAAUACCGGAUAUGACCUCCUAUCGCAUGGCGGGUGGUGGAAAGAUUUAUCGGUGCAGGAUGGGCCCGCGGCCUAUCAGCUUGUUGGUGGGGUAAUGGCCUACCAAGGCGACGACGGGUAGCCGACCUGAGAGGGUGACCGGCCACACUGGGACUGAGACACGGCCCAGACUCCUACGGGAGGCAGCAGUGGGGAAUAUUGCACAAUGGGCGAAAGCCUGAUGCAGCGACGCCGCGUGAGGGAUGACGGCCUUCGGGUUGUAAACCUCUUUCAGCUGGGACGAAGCGCAAGUGACGGUACCUGCAGAAGAAGCACCGGCUAACUACGUG
Molecule: ribosomal RNA, 462 nt
Filed under: uncultured bacterium
Lineage: Bacteria
Description: partial 16S ribosomal RNA
Rfam family: Bacterial small subunit ribosomal RNA
Source: RNAcentral